Molecule: long non-coding RNA, 349 nt
Organism: Oncorhynchus tshawytscha (Chinook salmon)
Lineage: Eukaryota; Metazoa; Chordata; Actinopteri; Salmoniformes; Salmonidae
Source: Ensembl
GUACUAUCUUAGUCACUCAAUACCAAACACCCACUACAGGUACUAUCAUAGUCACUCAAUACCAAACACCCACUACAGGUACUAUCAUAGUCACUCGAUACCAAACACCCACUACAGGUACUAUCUUAGUCACUCAAUACCAAACACCCACUACAGGUACUAUCUUAGUCACUCAAUACCAAACACCCACCCACUAAAGGUACUAUCAGGAAUCACUCCUGAACACCAAAUGUAUAGGCAAGGCUCAACUUCCUCACUCUCUGUUUUAAACCAUGUGAAUGUUGUCUCAUUUUGAUGCUAGCCUCCUCUCCUUGGACUGCCCAGGUGUGGUGGGUAAGGUAACUGUGAG